Long non-coding RNA from Drosophila virilis, 633 nucleotides. RefSeq lists it as uncharacterized. The record is from RefSeq and is a predicted model, not a curated record. Lineage: Eukaryota; Metazoa; Arthropoda; Insecta; Diptera; Drosophilidae.
UAAAUAAAAAAACCUCCUUGACUUGUCAGGUUCAAUAUCGUGUAUGGAAAGAGUCUGCCGCAGGAGGCACUUAUUUAAAUGUCUUCCUUUUUUAAGCUACAGCUAAUUUGUAUAAUUUGGUAAUUUUCUUUGAAUGAUCAAGUCGCCUGUCUGCAGCACGUUCCCCUUGCUGGACUCAAAUUGAAAACAAGUACUGGGAGCGGAGCUGCCCACUGAUUAAAAGCGAUCGCUUUAAGUAUAAUGUGGACGAGGAGCAGCGAGUGUUGCGAUCUAUGAAGGAGAGUAAAUUGUUUUAUCAGUCGAUAGUUUGUUGGCCUGGCCUUGUUGUUGCUUGAUUUGGUUACGCCCCUUACCCGGCUGCCUGCCGACCCUGCAUCUAGAUACAUGGCUAAUAAUCAGGCAGACGGAAAUGUGUCUGUAGGCACAAAGUGUGGCCAUUAAGCGAUACAUUAUAAUUAACUGAACAAGCCAAGGCGAAACGCGUGGAGUGAAAGGAAGUGGAGUCAAGCCAAGUCCAGUUCCGAACGGAAUGCAGCUGCCAACGGAAAUUGUUGAUAAGAGUCGUAUAUAGUAUGAUAACAUCAUCAAUAGUCUUGCCUGGGGUCUAUACAAUUAUAUAAAUUAUAUGCAGCA